This 147-nucleotide small nuclear RNA is filed under the name Piliocolobus tephrosceles (Ugandan red Colobus). Its description in RNAcentral is "U1 spliceosomal RNA (ENSPTEG00000034139.1)". It matches the Rfam family "U1 spliceosomal RNA". From Rfam's summary of the family: U1 is a small nuclear RNA (snRNA) component of the spliceosome (involved in pre-mRNA splicing). Its 5' end forms complementary base pairs with the 5' splice junction, thus defining the 5' donor site of an intron. The record is from Rfam by way of RNAcentral. Lineage: Eukaryota; Metazoa; Chordata; Mammalia; Primates; Cercopithecidae.
ACACUUACCUGGCAGGGUAGAUACCAUGAUCAGGAAGGUGGUUCCCAGAGUGAGGCUCAUCCAUUGCACUCUGGUUGUGCUGACCCCUGUGAUUUCCUCAAAUGCAGAAUUUGUAGUAGUGAGGGACUGUGUUCGUGCUUUUCCUCU